Molecule: long non-coding RNA, 677 nt
Filed under: Equus asinus (donkey)
Lineage: Eukaryota; Metazoa; Chordata; Mammalia; Perissodactyla; Equidae
Description: lncRNA (ENSEASG00005036758.1)
Source: RNAcentral
GCAGACCUUGCCCGCCAAGAGCUCAAAGUCGAGCAGAAAAAGACCAGAUUGAGUGCAAACAGUGAUCAAAGCAGCGGCCGCCGACAUGAGACAAUAUGUAUUUUUAGACAGAGGCUCCAUCCCCACCUGAUCAGCAGCCGGACCAGGGAACAAGGCUCCUCACUGCGUCAAGGAUGUUUCUGGAGGGAGACGGCAGCAUGGCUGAGCAGUCAAAGGAACCCCACCCCCAAGGUUUUCGGUUGCCUGGACUCUCUGGGGGAAGGGCUGCAGGACUGGCAUCCACAGACCUGGGUUCAAAUCCCGCAUCUGAGGACGGCCCGCCUUGUGACCUUGGGAACGGAUUGCAAUCUUGCAAGCCUGUCCUCUCACCUGCGCGAUAGGCACGGCCGUGCCCGUCCCCUGCCCAUCAUGCCCUUCCAGCUGGCCUUUCAUCCCGCAGCGAACCUCUGUGUGUCCGGCUCAGAGUCUCCAUAAACCGCACCAUGGAGCUGGCCCGAAGAUGGCCUGACAGACGUGUGACCUGGCAUGGCUGGAUUCCACCCCGGUGGCGAAGUGUUAUUUCCUUUAAUGCACACAUAUACACACACAGCUGUCUGGAAGAAUUCCUGGGCCCAGCACGGAGCAAAAUUUCAAAAACACACAGAAGUCGAGAGGACCAGACACAGAUUCCAGCAUCC